GACGAACGCUGGCGGCGUGCCUAAUACAUGCAAGUCGAACGCUUCUUUCCUCCCGAGUGCUUGCACUCAAUUGGAAAGAGGAGUGGCGGACGGGUGAGUAACACGUGGGUAACCUACCCAUCAGAGGGGGAUAACACUUGGAAACAGGUGCUAAUACCGCAUAACAGUUUAUGCCGCAUGGCAUGAGAGUGAAAGGCGCUUUCGGGUGUCGCUGAUGGAUGGACCCGCGGUGCAUUAGCUAGUUGGUGAGGUAACGGCUCACCAAGGCCACGAUGCAUAGCCGACCUGAGAGGGUGAUCGGCCACACUGGGACUGAGACACGGCCCAGACUCCUACGGGAGGCAGCAGUAGGGAAUCUUCGGCAAUGGACGAAAGUCUGACCGAGCAACGCCGCGUGAGUGAAGAAGGUUUUCGGAUCGUAAAACUCUGUUGUUAGAGAAGAACAAGGACGUUAGUAACUGAACGUCCCCUGACGGUGUCUAACCAGAAAGCCGCGGCUAACUACGUG
Molecule: ribosomal RNA, 508 nt
Filed under: uncultured bacterium
Lineage: Bacteria
Description: partial 16S ribosomal RNA
Rfam family: Bacterial small subunit ribosomal RNA
Source: RNAcentral